This 385-nucleotide ribosomal RNA is filed under the name uncultured bacterium. RNAcentral's name for it is "bacterial SSU rRNA". It matches the Rfam family "Bacterial small subunit ribosomal RNA", at positions 30 to 413 of the family's 1533-position model. The record is from RNAcentral.
AUUGAACGCUGGCGGCAUGCCUUACACAUGCAAGUCGAACGGCAGCGCGGGAGCAAUCCUGGCGGCGAGUGGCGAACGGGUGAGUAACAUAUCGGAACAUACCCUAGAGUGGGGGAUAACGUAGCGAAAGUUACGCUAAUACCGCAUACGAUCUACGGAUGAAAGUGGGGGACCCGCAAGGGCCUCAUGCUCAUGGAGUGGCCGAUAUCUGAUUAGCUAGUUGGUGGGGUAAAGGCCCACCAAGGCGACGAUCAGUAGCUGGUUUGAGAGAACGACCAGCCACACUGGAACUGAGACACGGUCCAGACUCCUACGGGAGGCAGCAGUGGGGAAUUUUGGACAAUGGGGGCAACCCUGAUCCAGCAAUGCCGCGUGAGUGAAGAAG